UUUGUUUUUUAAUUAAAAACUAGAAUGAAAGAUUUUACAUUUUAAUUUCUUUAUUAAAUAUAAUAUAUUAACUUAUAUUAAAUAUAAAAAUAUAUUUAUAAAAUAAAAAGACGACAAGACCCUAUUAAAUUUUACUUAUUGUUUAGCUGGGGCAGCUUUUUAAAUAAAACUUUAAAAUUUAUAAUAUAAUAAUAUAUCUAUACUAAAAUUAAAAAAUCUAUUAUAAAUAAAUUAAUCUAAUUACUAUAGGGAUAACAGCGUUAUAUUUUUUUCAAGUUCAUAUUUAAAAAAAUCAUUGCGACCUCGAUGUUGAAUUAUAUUUCUUUA
Molecule: ribosomal RNA, 327 nt
Filed under: Anelosimus lamarcki
Lineage: Eukaryota; Metazoa; Arthropoda; Arachnida; Araneae; Theridiidae
Description: partial 16S ribosomal RNA
Source: RNAcentral